AUCCCAUCUUUCCUUCUUUAUCUCUCUAAAAAUCGCCAAUUUCCCCCCUCUCUCUCUAAAAUAUUGUUUAUUAUUUAUUUAAUAAAUAAUAAUAAGGUUCUGCCUCGUUUUAAGUGUUUUAACUCCCGAUCACCGCUACCCUUUCCGAUUGAUCUGAGUCCCAUAACGCAUGUCAAGGCUCUGCCCGACUAAGUUCGUUUGGAUUCGGUCUCGGACAUCGAGAUAAGGUUGAAUAAGGGGUACUAUACUUAACACGAGUGCAUUAUAUAUUUUUAUAGUUCAAAAGUUAUACCCAAAAUUUAUACCAAGAGAUUUUCUAGUUGAACCCUAAAGUUACACAGUGGGUCCAUUCUCUUUUCUCACUGUUUUAUUCUCUUUUUAUGAUUUACCCAAAACUAUUAUUUAUUAUUUCUAUUUUGUAAACAACUUUCAUCAAAAGUCAUGCCUAUUAUUUUAUUUACCCAAUAGGGAACCAUAGUUGAAACACCCAAGUAAUCCUGCACAACUCCUAAAAUUUUCAUAGCAAUCAGAAUCAGGAUCAGGGCCCCUAAAACUCGGGGGGGUAUUCCCCACUUGACGAUUAUCCUUAUAACUUGCUGUCUAAAUUGAAAUUAUUCGUUCCAUCGACUCAGCUAGCCUACUGCCACACGCGGCAAACCUAUGGUCAUUACGUGUCCCUUACGGACCAUAAGGGAUAAGGCUUACGGUCCGUAAGCCUGUCAAAUUUCGUGUAUAAAUAGCAGGCAUCGGCACUUGCAGUUUGCUGUUCAUUCGACGAUUAAAUUUCGAUUAUACACCGAGUUAUCGUCCAAAUACUCUAAAAACACACACGCGAAUCACUAAUUAGUAUAGCAGGGUGCUGCUACGAUACAGGGUAUUAACUCGAUCGCUGUUACGAUUCAUUUUCCAACCGAUCAAUAUAUCCAAUGGAUGUUUAAGUGCCGCCCACGAUAGGGUUAUACUUUGUCGUUCGUCGUUAAAUCGAUGGAUGUUUAAGUAUCGCACUUUGUCGUUCGUUGUUACAAGGCUAAAUCAAUAGGCUAAGCUCUGCCUGUAUAAAUCUGCAAUAUAUCAAGACUUAUCUGUAGACUAAACUUUGGCCGUAUGAAUCUGCAUGAUUAUAAUGUGAGUCAUUCUCUUUUUAUCUACUGUUUUACAAUACUCCAAAUUAUUUUCAGAAUUAUAAUUACAGUGAUUAAGUUUAUGUAAUCACCAAAUUACAGCCAGUAUGUGGGGUAUUGUGCACAUUACUACAGUUUUAAUCACAUUAGGUGGGCGAACCUAAAAUUAAGUGAUAUACGUCAUUCAUUGGGGCAGCCAAUGGUGAUAUGACCACAGUCACAGAUCCGGUCGAGUGACAAAUACUGUGGGUAGUUGGUAGAUAAUAAACAUAUGUAAAAGCUCUUAAUACUGUAAAUUAUAACAAACGAGUCGUUUUAGUAAACUGAAUGAUUCACUCAGUAUUUCCCGCUGACAAAACCUUUUUAAAACGCGUUUCAGGUAAUUACAGUAGAUUGGAGUAAGGAUUGGAUCCGGCACUAAAAGACUUCAAGAAGUGGCUUAUUUUAUUAAUUAAAUCAAAUUAAGAAAUAUUGUUUUUAUUAAAAGCUACCUUUGUAACAAUGGAAUUUAUUCCAUCUAUUUAAAUAAAAUUCGGUGUUUCUAAACUCUAAUAUUUUUUUUCCUAACUCACGGUCCUGAUGAAAAUUCCGCUGCAAUGUUUUUCAAAAAUAAUCACCGGUACCACUGGACUGCUCGCGGCUUCCGAUUCCUGCCAGGAUGGGGUCGGGGGUCGUGACAGUAAAGGUGGUAUCAGAGCCACUGCUUUAAGCCUAUAAGUGUUGUGAUAAUAAUACUUAAGCUUAAAUAAAAACAGUUAGGAGAUUACUGUUAAAUGGUAGCACAGCCGAUAGCAGUUAGACUUGAACAUAAGAAAAGAUGCCUUAAUAUAAGCUAAGCUACUUGUUUACACAAUUAGGUGUUAUAAUAAUACCUAAGUUUAAACGGAAAAUUAGAAGCUUAAUAUUAUCUGAUAGCAUUCCGGAUGAUAUUUAGACUUGAACUUAAGAUUUUUGCCUUAAAUAAAUUUUAAGGUAAAUUACUUAUAUAAGUACAAUGUAAUGGAUAUUGGUAUUCCAUAAAAAUGACGAUUAGCAGGCAAUAGCACGUAAUUGCUUCUUGCUUAUUGAUAUUAUUUGGUCGAGAAUAAGAUAUGUUAGGGAAGUACAAAUUUCCUUGAUUCUGGAUAAAAGUCCUAAUAAAAGAGGCACUUUUAAAAAAAUCUUGAAAAGAUACUAUUUAUGGGAAAUAGAAAAUUUUCUCCGGCAAAACUGGGUAUAGAGUAGCAGACUCUCCAGCUUGUCUGGAUAUACUGAAGUUACCUCUCCGGCGCGAACCGGAUAAGACGGGGUAAAUAAUAUGUCAAAUCAGUGACAAGACUACCCUAAAUAAAAUCAUGACCAGAUAUUUGACUUGUUUUUUGGAGAUAUGAAUCUGCUAAAUACAUUGAUCUUAUAGAAGGUAUGUAUAUUACAGCAUGUGAAAUAUAUAAUUAUAUAGAUAUGUAUAUCUAUAAGGAAUUCCAAAAGUCGAUUAGGAAUAAAACACAAGCAUAUGUGUCUAGAUUUCUUUAUUAGGAAUCUCUUUUCCGAUAUCAAACAUUAUUUCGUUUGAUCAUCUGUCUCGUAGUUCGUGUGACAAAAUAAAUAAAUUCGAACACCAUAAAAAAUAUAAGAAUUACCAAUGCGUUAUCAUAAACUAUUAACACAAGUAAGAAACAUCUAAAGUUGUGCUGAUGCACAAGAAAACACAUAAAACUUAAAUUAUAUAUAUCCACGGACAUCGAAGUUUAUCACACAUGACUUCCAAGGCAAAGACCUUUGGAAAAUAUAAAUUAGGCACGAUGACACCAAUACUAAUUC
Molecule: long non-coding RNA, 2921 nt
Filed under: Helianthus annuus (common sunflower)
Lineage: Eukaryota; Viridiplantae; Streptophyta; Magnoliopsida; Asterales; Asteraceae
Description: hypothetical non coding rna
Source: RNAcentral